GAAAGAUAAACCGUCGCGUGUAUUAAAAUACGAAUUUAUUUUGCUUUAUAUUUCUACUCUGGAGAUUUAGAUGGGUGAGUCCUUAAUUAACCCCACUGAGACAGGAAGCACCACAGACUGACAACUAUUGAGGAGAAAUGAUGGGAAAGAAAGCAACAAUGAAUAGGCUACAAGCAGAAGAAAAAAAGGAGAAGGUGAAGACAGCAGACUACAGGAGCAUGAGUUGCAUUCCUGACCCUGACUUUAGCCGAAAGAUGGAGAGGAAUGUGUGAGGACCCACGCACACACAAAGUUUCAGCAGGUGAAGAAUCUGGAAAUCCAGUGUCUAUGUAGUUCAUGACUGACAUCUCAAUGAAGACAGAGGGGGGAAGGGGUACGAGGUCAGAAGACCUGAUCCGAAAGGGCUGAAAUGGAAAGACGUUUUGAUAUGGAUGGCUAUCAAGUGACAGUUUGAUAUGGAGGAAAAAGGAAAAGCAAAUGAGCGGACAUUUGUUAUAGUUGUGGUAAAAAUAGGCAGAGAAAAAAGGGACUAUGGGAGUUGAAGUCUUCUGAG
RNAcentral lists this long non-coding RNA (553 nucleotides) under Sinocyclocheilus anshuiensis. RNAcentral describes it as "lncRNA (ENSSANG00000018317.1)". The record is from RNAcentral. Lineage: Eukaryota; Metazoa; Chordata; Actinopteri; Cypriniformes; Cyprinidae.